Molecule: ribosomal RNA, 274 nt
Filed under: uncultured bacterium
Lineage: Bacteria
Description: partial 16S ribosomal RNA
Rfam family: Bacterial small subunit ribosomal RNA
Source: RNAcentral
AUACGGAGGGUGCGAGCGUUAAUCGGAAUUACUGGGCGUAAAGGGUACGUAGGCGGUUAUUUAAGUUGGAUGUGAAAUCCCCGGGCUCAACCUGGGAACUGCAUCCAAAACUGGGUGACUAGAGUGUAUAAGAGGUUAGCGGAAUUCCAGGUGUAGCAGUGAAAUGCGUAGAUAUCUGGAGGAACAUCAGUGGCGAAGGCGGCUAACUGGUAUAACACUGACGCUGAGGUACGAAAGCGUGGGGAGCGAACGGGAUUAGAUACCCUAGUAGUCC